RNAcentral lists this long non-coding RNA (239 nucleotides) under Elaeis guineensis (African oil palm). RNAcentral's name for it is "long non-coding RNA (EGUI_LNC064752)". The record is from RNAcentral. Lineage: Eukaryota; Viridiplantae; Streptophyta; Magnoliopsida; Arecales; Arecaceae.
AAUGAGCCCUUGUAGUAGAUGUUGGCGAUAGUUGGUCUACUAUAAGAGUAGGGUAUGCAUCAAGAUGAGAUCUAUCAAUCCUAGCGGAAGGGAGUAGUCCUAUAAAAUUUAAGAGGCUAAGUCCUUAAGUCUAUGUAUGGCCAUAACAGAGUGAUUGAUGAAAAGAGUUUUCAUAGAAUCACAUAUGGACUCGAGCUGAUUCAUAUGAUCGAUGAUGAGAUUUGAUGAUUCAUCCAUGA